RNAcentral lists this long non-coding RNA (1519 nucleotides) under Mus musculus (house mouse). RNAcentral describes it as "cDNA sequence BC023486". Lineage: Eukaryota; Metazoa; Chordata; Mammalia; Rodentia; Muridae. The record is from RNAcentral.
GGUCAAACAUUAUUCUUGAUGUCUCUGCAAGACUGUUUUGGGGGUGAAAUUAACAGGCAAGUUGGUGAGCUUUGGUGAAGCAAACAACCUUACAUGAUGUGAGUGGUCCUUGUGCCCAGUUGAAGCCGUGAGUAAAACAAAGUCUGACAUAGCCUUGAGCAAGAAAGAACUCUACCUCCAGACAACUUCGGGGGCAGGUGCAAAGUUGGUGCUGCCCUGGGUCUCUAGCUGCCAGCUUCCCCGACAGGCUUCGGGUGCCCAUAGCCCCACAAUCAAGGAAUCCAGUUUCUAAAAUUAACCUACCUCUCUCUUUUCCCCUUCCUCCUCCCACUCUUCCUCGCUCUUCCUCCCGCUAGUUCUGUGGCCCUGCAGACUCCUGACUGAACUAACACAGUUGGGGAGAAUAAGCCGUAAAAAGGGGAGCUUUUCUGUCCUUUCACUUUGCACUGAUGCCCCAUCCAUCCUCCCUUUCUGCUUGCCAUGGUAAAUGGUGUCCGACGUAACACAGAUGCACUGUGCACUGGAGAGGCAGAGCAUCCUGCCUUCCACAGCCGUGCACACCAGUCCCUGUGCACAAGUGGCCACCCACCCAGCGAAUCGACGUGGUGUGCUUAUCAAAAUCUGUGUGUCUGUGGGCCAGAGCCAAAUCCAGGUAAGCUGGGUCCCUCCUUGGGUCCACCGAGUGAUUCACAGUAUCCGCCAGACUGUAUUCGCCUCCCAAGCCUGAGGUCCGCUUCCCAGCAGAGCCCUCGCUGUUGGCACACUAGUCUGAACCCCAUUUCCUAGCAGGAUAUUGACGGAUGUCCUUACUGGUAAGGCUGUCUGGGACUCUCAGUGAAAAGACCGGCCAUGUGUGCCUCCAGAUGGUACUAGAUCCAGGUGCUAGAACAAGAUGAGCAAGUGAAUCUCUCAUACUUCAGAUCCUUCAAGGAUCUUGAAAAGAGCGCUGGAAUCAAAGGCGAACGCCACCACUGCCCGGCCUUGUUUUGUUUUUAAAGACAGUUUUCGGCACACAGAGAGGCUGUGAGUUAGGACGGGGGUUUCUUGCCGUUGCCACCAUUCUCAUUGACACGUUAUGCUGCACACAGCAGAGCCCCAUCCUGAAUGCCCAGCGGUGCCCACAGCCAGGAGGAGCAUUCGAUGUGUGAUGACUCAUCUCGUGCAUCAGACGCUCUCUAAAGUUCCCACAGAUUAUACCAUGGCUUAGUGAGUGCGAUUCUAAGACAGUUCCAAAAGACUUUUCAAUCCGUGGGAGUUUCAAAGUGGAUUCUCAGACAAACAUGGGGAGGACUGAGGCAGGCUUGGACACGCACAGAAUCAGACAACGAUGGGCUGAGGAAGUGGCUCAGCGGUUAAGAGCACUGUCUGCUCUUCCAAAGGUCCGGAGUUCAAAUCCCUGCAACCACAUGGUGGCUCACAACCAACUGUAAUGAGAUCUGGCGCCCUCUUCUGGAGUGUCUGAAGACAGAUACAGUGUACUUACAUAUAGUAAAUAAAUAAAUCUUAAAAAAAAAAAAAA